Molecule: ribosomal RNA, 549 nt
Filed under: uncultured Archaeospora
Lineage: Eukaryota; Fungi; Glomeromycota; Glomeromycetes; Archaeosporales; Archaeosporaceae
Description: SSU rRNA
Rfam family: Eukaryotic small subunit ribosomal RNA
Source: RNAcentral
GGCAGCCGCGGUAAUUCCAGCUCCAAUAGCGUAUAUUAAAGUUGUUGCAGUUAAAAAGCUCGUAGUUGAAUUUCGGGGUUAGUAGGUUGGUCAUGCCUUUGGUAUGUACUGGUCUCACUGAUUCCUCCUUCCUGAUGAACCUUAAUGCCAUUUAUUUGGUGUUUUGGGGAAUUUGGACUGUUACUUUGAAAAAAUUAGAGUGUUUAAAGCAAGCUAACGCUUGAAUACAUUAGCAUGGAAUAAUGAAAUAGGACGUUCGAUCCUAUUUUGUUGGUUUCUAGGAUUGACGUAAUGAUUAAUAGGGAUAGUUGGGGGCAUUAGUAUUCAAUUGUCAGAGGUGAAAUUCUUGGAUUUAAUUGAGGACUAACUACUGCGAAAGCAUUUGCCAAGGAUGUUUCAUUAAUCAAGAACGAAAGUUAGGGAUCGAAGACGAUCAGAUACCGUCGUAGUCUUAACCAUAAACUAUGCCGACUAGGGAUCGGAUGAUGUUAAUUUUUAANGUACUNUAUCGGCGUACCGUUACGGGAAACCAAGUUAGUUUGGGUUACG